This 254-nucleotide ribosomal RNA is filed under the name uncultured bacterium. RNAcentral describes it as "partial 16S ribosomal RNA". It matches the Rfam family "Bacterial small subunit ribosomal RNA", at positions 524 to 776 of the family's 1533-position model. The record is from RNAcentral.
CACGUAGGGUGCGAGCGUUGUCCGGAAUUAUUGGGCGUAAAGAGCUCGUAGGCGGUGUGUCGCGUCGGCCGUGAAAACCUGCAGCUUAACUGUGGGCUUGCGGUCGAUACGGGCAUCACUGGAGUUCGGCAGGGGAGACUGGAAUUCCUGGUGUAGCGGUGAAAUGCGCAGAUAUCUGGAGGAACACCGGUGGCGAAGGCGGGUCUCUGGGCCGAUAUUGACGCUGAGGAGCGAAAGCGUGGGGAGCGAACAGG